Molecule: transfer RNA, 60 nt
Filed under: Onchocerca ochengi
Lineage: Eukaryota; Metazoa; Nematoda; Chromadorea; Rhabditida; Onchocercidae
Rfam family: tRNA
About the family: Transfer RNA (tRNA) molecules are approximately 80 nucleotides in length. Their secondary structure includes four short double-helical elements and three loops (D, anti-codon, and T loops). Further hydrogen bonds mediate the characteristic L-shaped molecular structure. tRNAs have two regions of fundamental functional importance: the anti-codon, which is responsible for specific mRNA codon recognition, and the 3' end, to which the tRNAs corresponding amino acid is attached (by aminoacyl-tRNA synthetases). tRNAs cope with the degeneracy of the genetic code in two manners: having more than one tRNA (with a specific anti-codon) for a particular amino acid; and 'wobble' base-pairing, i.e. permitting non-standard base-pairing at the 3rd anti-codon position.
Source: Rfam by way of RNAcentral
AGGCGCUGGUUUUAGGCACCAGUCUCUUCGGAGACGUGGGUUCGAAUCCCACUCUCGUCA